CGUCUGUGGCAACCUUUCACGGCGGCGCGGCCUCUAGCGGCGGCGGCGACCUUGUUUCGAUUUGAGUUCGAUUUUAGUCAACGCCGGUUUUCUCCUAGCUCCGGCCACCAAAACUUCCGAUCCUUAGCUCCAUGAACUCGCCUCAAUCUUCUGAUCAUCAUACUAGAAGGAUCGCACCUGGAGUGACCGGUUUCACGUUCGUCGGAGCUCGACCGGUUUUCGAUCCGAAACCAAAACCUUUCGAUCGUGAUAUCUCGAGCUGUAGUGCAUCGUUUUGAUUGAUUCUUGAACCAGUGAGUUCGGCUUGAUGUUCUUAACAACUCUCUAGAAGGAAUCGAGGCCUGAAAUUGAAGUUUUUACGUCGAAAAUCGAGCUCGCCGGUUUCUGCAUUUCUUCGCCGGUUUCUGGAAAAUUCCGGCCACCUUCAUACUGUUCUAGGUGAUUGACGGUCUUCCUUGGUGAGCGGUUUUGGUGUGUUUUGUGAAAUUGAAGACGCAGCGGGAUUAAAGCGGGUAAUCCUGCAGGUUAGGAGAAUCAGGGCGGUGAUCGUGCGGGUUAGAGUAAUUGUUAUAGUUUUACAGUGAUUGUAAUAGUGAGGUGAGUUAAGCUCAAUUGAGCCUUACAAUUUGAUUUGGUGAGAGUGUGCUGUAAUAAAUAACUUGAGAAUUUUGGUUUAUUGUUUUAUUAAGAGGUGUGAAGUGUGGUUGUUUGUGAGAAAAUAAACUCAGGAUGUUAUUUGUAAUUUUUUUUAUUUUUCAUGCUUCGGAUUUGAAUUUGUUAUUCAAAAUUCGGGGC
Molecule: long non-coding RNA, 795 nt
Organism: Rosa rugosa (rugosa rose)
Lineage: Eukaryota; Viridiplantae; Streptophyta; Magnoliopsida; Rosales; Rosaceae
Exons: 3
Source: RefSeq, a predicted model, not a curated record